RNAcentral lists this ribosomal RNA (793 nucleotides) under uncultured Alphaproteobacteria bacterium. RNAcentral describes it as "bacterial SSU rRNA". It matches the Rfam family "Bacterial small subunit ribosomal RNA", at positions 33 to 874 of the family's 1533-position model. Lineage: Bacteria; Pseudomonadati; Pseudomonadota; Alphaproteobacteria. The record is from RNAcentral.
ACGCUGGCGGCAUGCCUCAUACAUGCAAGUCGAACGAAAUCUUCGGAUUUAGUGGCGCACGGGUGAGUAACAUGUGGGAAUCUACCUAAAGGUUCGGAAUAACUGCGGGAAACUGUAGCUAAUACCGGAUGUGUCUGCAAAGAGAAAGAUUUAUCGCCUUUAGAUGAGCCCGCACUAGAUUAGCUAGUUGGUGAGGUAAAUGCUCCACCAAGGCUACGAUCUAUAGCUGAUUUGAGAGGAUGAUCAGCCACACUGGGACUGAGACACGGCCCAGACUCCUACGGGAGGCAGCAGUAGGGAAUAUUGGACAAUGGGGGAAACCCUGAUCCAGCAAUGCCGCGUGAGUGAAGAAGGCCCUCGGGUUGUAAAACUCUUUCAUCAAUGAUGAUAAUGACAUUAGUUGAAGAAGAAGCUCCGGCUAACUUCGUGCCAGCAGCCGCGGUAAUACGAAGGGGGCUAGCGUUGUUCGGAAUCACUGGGCGUAAAGCGUAUGUAGGCGGAUCAAAAAGUUAGAUGUGAAAUCCCUGGGCUCAACCCAGGAACUGCAUUUAAAACUAGUGAUCUAGAAAUUGGUAAAGGUUAGUAGAAUUUCCAGUGUAGAGGUGAAAUUCGUAGAUAUUGGAAAGAAUACCAGAAGCGAAGGCGACUAACUAGGCCAUUUUUGACGCUGAGAUACGAAAGCGUGGGUAGCAAACAGGAUUAGAUACCCUGGUAGUCCACGCAGUAAACGAUGAGUGCUAGUCGCUGGGACAAUAGUUUCAGUGUCGAAGCUAACGCAUUAAGCACUCCGCCU